AUUAGGACACGGACACACACAGAGGGGAGGCCACAGGAAGACACAGGAGGAAGACGGCCAUCUCCGGGCAAGGAGAGAGGCCUCAGAAGAAACCAGCCUGCCCGCAUUUGGAUCUCAGCUGGCUGGUCUCCAGAGCUGCUGCCCUUGGUGAUGCCCACAUCUGACACCUCCACGGGGUGACAGGGCCUGGCCACCGCCGCCUCUGCCACUGCAAGGUGCCGAAGGGGUGCUGCAGCCAACCAGCAAGGAGGCUGCCCCGUGGAUUUCUGCCCUGAAGACAUUCUACACGACAGUGGGUCACCUGCGCACCUUGUCAAAACAGUACCUGCUAUCCCCCUGCUGCCCUCUGUCCCACGGACUUGGCCCAUGGGAGGGUGUCUGGGAACCAUACACCUAGGGCAGGCAGUGCUGGCUCCCCAGUCCCCGGGGCCCGCCCCUCUGGGUGCCUCCCUCAAGCCUUCAUGCAAGCCAGCACAUACACACGUGCCCCGGGAAGCCCACCCCACACGAUGACCAAGCACGCUUAGAAAUAUCUGGAUCCCCACGCAGACAUGACUCAGGCUCUGACUUCCCUCUAGUAUACGGGAUUGUUAAUUUUUUUUUUUAUAGAUUAUAAUCAGCGUGCAUUCA
Molecule: long non-coding RNA, 630 nt
Organism: Acinonyx jubatus (cheetah)
Lineage: Eukaryota; Metazoa; Chordata; Mammalia; Carnivora; Felidae
Exons: 2
Source: RefSeq, a predicted model, not a curated record